GAUCAUGGCUCAGGACGAACGCUGGCGGCGUGCCUAACACAUGCAAGUCGAGCGAUGAAGCCCUUCGGGGUGGAUUAGCGGCGGACGGGUGAGUAACACGUGGGUAACCUGCCUCAAAGAGGGGGAUAGCCUCCCGAAAGGGAGAUUAAUACCGCAUAACAUUAGUUUUUCGCAUGGAGGACUAAUUAAAGGAGCAAUCCGCUUUGAGAUGGACCCGCGGCGCAUUAGCUAGUUGGUGAGGUAAAGGCUCACCAAGGCGACGAUGCGUAGCCGACCUGAGAGGGUGAUCGGCCACAUUGGAACUGAGACACGGUCCAGACUCCUACGGGAGGCAGCAGUGGGGAAUAUUGCACAAUGGGCGAAAGCCUGAAUGCAGCAACGCCGCGUGAGUGAUGAAGGCCUUCGGGUUGUAAAGCUCUGUCUUUUGGGACGAUAAUGACGGUACCAAAGGAGGAAGCCACGGCUAACUACGUGCCAGCCGCCGC
Molecule: ribosomal RNA, 485 nt
Filed under: uncultured bacterium
Lineage: Bacteria
Description: bacterial SSU rRNA
Rfam family: Bacterial small subunit ribosomal RNA
Source: RNAcentral